GAAUGGCGGUGUGCCAAACUUCAGAAGAGACUUCACAUCACUCAUUGAUGCGUGAAUGAAUUGAAUUUCUUUUCUCUCUUGUCAAGAAAUAUUUGGUAAAUGUGAUGGUGGUGGUAGUGGUAGACGACAUACUUCAAUUUGAAGGAAAAGCCACCACCCCAUCACUAAUGGGAGAGAGGUCCCU
Caenorhabditis elegans is the source of this 184-nucleotide non-coding RNA. The record is from Ensembl. NCBI's taxonomy places the organism in Eukaryota, Metazoa, Nematoda, Chromadorea, Rhabditida, Rhabditidae.